RNAcentral lists this ribosomal RNA (254 nucleotides) under uncultured prokaryote. RNAcentral describes it as "partial 16S ribosomal RNA". It matches the Rfam family "Bacterial small subunit ribosomal RNA", at positions 524 to 776 of the family's 1533-position model. The record is from RNAcentral.
UACGUAGGGUGCAAGCGUUGUUCGGAAUUACUGGGCGUAAAGGGCUCGUAGGCGGCCAACUAAGUCAGACGUGAAAUCCCUCGGCUUAACCGGGGAACUGCGUCUGAUACUGGAUGGCUAGAGUGUGGGAGAGGGAUGCGGAAUUCCAGGUGUAGCGGUGAAAUGCGUAGAUAUCUGGAGGAACACCGGUGGCGAAGGCGGCAUCCUGGACCACGACUGACGCUGAGUGAGCGAAAGCCAGGGGAGCAAACGGG